RNAcentral lists this small RNA (907 nucleotides) under uncultured bacterium. RNAcentral's name for it is "bacterial SSU rRNA". The stretch from base 1 to 478 matches the Rfam family "Bacterial small subunit ribosomal RNA", at positions 1045 to 1533 of the family's 1533-position model. The record is from RNAcentral.
AUGGCUGUCGUCAGCUCGUGUCGUGAGAUGUUAGGUUAAGUCCUGCAACGAGCGCAACCCCUAUAUUUAGUUGCCAGCACAUAAUGGUGGGGACUCUAAAUAGACUGCCCGGAAUAACCGGGAGGAAGGUGGGGAUGAUGUCAAGUCAGUAUGUCCCUUAUACCCAGGGCUACACACGUGUUACAAUGGAUGGUACAAAAAGUAGCAAUUCCGCGAGGAGGAGCCAAUCUUUAAAACUAUCCCCAGUUCAGAUUGAAGUCUGAAAUUCGACUUCAUGAAGCAGGAAUCGCUAGUAAUCGCAGAUCAGCGCGCUGCGGUGAAUACGUUCCCGGGUCUUGUACACACCGCCCGUCACACCAUGGAAGUUGGUUACACCUGAAGGCAAAACGUAAAACUUUUGACUACGGUACGAUCAGCGACUGGGGUGAAGUCGUAACAAGGUAGCCGUAGGGGAACCUGCGGCUGGAUCACCUCCUUAUACGAUUUAGAACUUAUUUGUUCGUAGUGUCCACACAGAUGAUUGUUAAUUAGUACUUGUUCUUCGGAAUAACUAAUUAAUAUGCUCUUUAAAAAUUUGGAAAAGCUGAUAAUAAAAUUCUGAUAGAUACUUUGUAUUUAUCAAGAGUUUUCAAAAGUAAAAAAAGAAUGGUAGCAGUACCAUUCAGUGCCAUUUGAUUGACGUUUUACGUUGAUUGAUUGGUAUCUACUUUAGUAUUCAAUAUUAACUUCUGGCGAAGUUAAACUGUCACAAAACAAAGACCCGUUUGGGUUGUAUGGUUAAGUGACUAAGCGUACACGGUGGAUGCCUUGGCAGUUGGAGGCGAUGAAGGACGUAUUAACUUGCGAUAAGCCUAGUCAAGCUAGUAAAAAGCGCUUGAGACUAGGAUCUCCGAAUGGGGAAACCCGG